CACCUAGUUGAUCUUGCCAAUAGUCAUAUGCUUGUCUCAAACUGUAAAACUGCGAAUGGCUCAUUAAAUCAGUUAUAGUUUGUUUGAUGGUAUUUGCUACUUGGAUAACCAUAGCAAUUCUAGAGCUAAUACGUGCAACAAACCUCGACUUUUGGAAGGGAUGCAUUUAUUAAAUGAAAGGUUGACGUGAAUUUUGCACGUUGCUCUGCUGAUUCAUGAUGACUUGAUGGAUCACACAGCCAUCGUGCUGGUGACGCAUCAUUCAAAUUUCUACCCUAUCAACUUUCGAUGAUAGGAUAGUGGCCUACUAUGGUGGUGACGGGUAACAAAGAAUUAGGGUUCGAUUCCGGAGAGGGAGCUUAAGAAACGGCUACCACAUCCAAGGAAUGCAGCAGACACGCGAAUUACAAAAUCCUAACACGGGGAGGUAAUGACAAUAUAUAACACUAUCGGGCUCUUUGAGUAUGGUAAUUGGCAUGAAUACAAUCUAAAUCUCUUAAUAAUGAUCCAUUGGAGGGCAAGUCUAAUGCUAGUAGCUGCAAUAAUUCCAGCUCCAAUAGCGUAUAUUUAAGUUGUUGGAGUUAAAAAGCUUGUAAUUGGACCUUGGGUUGGGUCGACUAGUCCACCUCACAGUGUGCACCGAUUGGCUUGUCCCUUCUACUGGCGAUACGCUCCUAGCCUUAAUUGGUUGAUUUGUGCCUCCUGUGUUAUUACUUUGAAGAAAUUGGAGUGCUCAAAGCAAACCCUCACUCUAUAUACAUUAGCAUGGGAUGACAUCAUAGGAUUCCGAUCCUAUUAUGUUGGCCUUCAAGAUCGGAGUAAUGAUUAACAAGGACAAUUGGGGGCAUUUGUUUUUCAUAGUCAGAGGUGAAAUUCUUGGAUUUAUGAAAGACGAACAACUGUGAAAGCAACCACCCGCGGUGGUGGCGUAGGUGGUUGAGCAAGGGAACUUUUCACGAGAGGUCCCGAGUUCGAUCCACGGCGUCGUCAAGCUUUAAGUGCAAGCCGUGUCUUACCCGGGGGACGUGGGUGGUGGGUCCUCACGUGUCUCCCCAGGGUUUAUCCCAGUCGCGAAGCGGCGUACGGGGGUUCCCUGAGUCAUCAAAAAAAAAACAAAAAAAAAAAAAAACAACUGUGAAAGCAACUUAACCAAAAAAAAACACUGGUGAAAGCAAACCACCGACCAAGGUGGCAUAGAUGGUAGGGCCUUGGACCUCCCCGGUGGAGGCCAAGGGUUCGAAUCCCCUGCAAGCAGGGAGUCAGUCUAGCUACUANNNNNNNNNNNNNNNNNNNNNNNNNNNNNNNNNNNNNNNNNNNNNNNNNNNNNNNNNNNNNNNNNNNNNNNNNNNNNNNNNNNNNNNNNNNNNNNNNNNNUGGGUUGUAUUUCUGCCCUCCCUUUUCGUUUGUUCUUGUCUUGCUUUCUGCCCUGGCUACGCUGUUCGUUAGCCUUCUUCUAGCUGCUUGUUUUCCCGUUUCUUGUAUCUUUCUCUACAGCUUGGGUUGGCAACCUUUCACUCGAUUGGUAUUUCUCUGACCCUCUAAGUGCAAGCAUUUUGGUGCCGGCUCUUCUCUGUUGUACUAUGUAUAGCUUCCUGGUUCACAAGUCUAUUGAUAAUACUUACCUUUUACCAAAAAAAAAAAACAACUGUGAAAGCAUACCACCGCUCGCAGCGGCAACGCUGGCUUUGGGCUCUCUCCCCCUCACGAAUGGGAGAAGUUCGAACCACAGCGUUGUCGUUAGAAUUCUUAAGUGGGACGCCAUGGUGGUGGGUCCUGCGCUAGCGUCACUUGGGGGUUUACGUCGCGGCUAUCGACUGGCGGCGGUUCCUCCAUUCCCAAAAAAAAAAAAAAACUGUGAAAGCACACUCACCCCACGGUGAACAAGCUGGUUCGAUACCUACCCCCUCAUCCGGAAGGGGAGGGGUUCGAAACUCCGCGCCCCCAUUGCGCGACUCAUCUGUGGCCCAUGGGAGGUGGGUCCCUAUGGGUCGCCCCAGGUUUAUGCCGUCGGCUGCCGGCUGUACGACAGUUCCCGGGUCACAAAAAAAAAAAAAACAACUGUGAAAGCACCCAUUCGUGGAUAGGUGCGUUGGUUGAGAGUCUCUCCCUCAUCGCAGAAGUCGAGAGUUUGAAACUCGCAGUUGCUAGCAAUUUAAGUGGAAGGCCCUGGCGAUGGGUUGCUGGGCUAGUCUCCUCUGUGGUGGAGUUCUCGGUUACCAAAAAAAAGAAAAUUGUGAAAGCAUUUGCCAAUGAUGUUUUCAUUAAUCAAGAACGAAAUUUGAGAGCUCGAAGGAGAUCAGAUACUGUCCUAGUCUCAAUCAUAAACGAUGCCAACUAAGGAUCGGCAAAUGUUGCUUUUCGGACUCUACCGGCACCUUCUGAGAAAUCAAAGUUUUUGGGUUCCGGGGGGAGUAUGGUCGCAAGGUUGAAACUUAGAGGAAUUGAAAUAGAAUUAGGAUUGAACCUAAAGUUAGAGUUUUUUUUUUUUAUGGGAUAAAAA
Non-coding RNA from Eucalyptus grandis, 2500 nucleotides. The record is from Rfam. NCBI's taxonomy places the organism in Eukaryota, Viridiplantae, Streptophyta, Magnoliopsida, Myrtales, Myrtaceae.